This is a long non-coding RNA of Zonotrichia leucophrys gambelii, 704 nucleotides long. RefSeq lists it as uncharacterized. The record is from RefSeq and is a predicted model, not a curated record. Lineage: Eukaryota; Metazoa; Chordata; Aves; Passeriformes; Passerellidae. The transcript is spliced from 2 exons.
CGGGAUUCAGGCUCUUCCCGGAAUCCCAGCUCCGGGCAGCACCCCCUUCCUGGUGGCCUUGGUGGCCAUGGAUCAGAUCCUGGAGGGAUUCGCCGUGGGAGGAUCCCGGGGUCGCCCCCAGCUCCAGCCUCUCCCUUUUGUUCUCCCUCCUCCCUCUCCUGUUCCCGAGGAGCUUCCCGAGAAAAUGCUGGGAAACCAUGGAAACCACCCGCUCCCGUCGGAAUCCGGGCAGGAAAAAAAGCAGGAAAAAAGCAGGAAAAAAGCAGGAAAAAAGCAGGAAAAAAGCAGGAAGGGCCACCCAGGCCCCUUCCCUUCCCCCAUGGAAUCACCUGAAAUCCCAAGGACUCACCUGGAUUUGGAAAUAAAAAUUGGGCGGGAUUAACUCCGGGCAAAAAUUCCAGAUUUCCUCCUUUUCCCAACACCAAUGAUGCAUCUUCACCGGAUUCCCAGAGCUGGGAAUUCUGGGGAAAAAACCCUCGGAGGGAUAAAGCCGUGGGGAAAAGGAUGGAGGAGGUGGGAUGCUCCCAGGAAUGCUCCCAUUGAUGGUUUUCCAUAUGGAGGCUUGGCAGGGCAGCUUUGCUUUUUUUCCCAUUCUCCGGGAUUUGAUAAAAAUAGAUUUAUUAAAUUAUUUUAUUUUUUUAUAAAAUAGUUUAAUAAAUUUGGUAAAUUAUUAAUAAAAUUCAAUACAGGGUCGAAGGAUGGGA